RNAcentral lists this ribosomal RNA (330 nucleotides) under uncultured Caulobacter sp. RNAcentral's name for it is "bacterial SSU rRNA". It matches the Rfam family "Bacterial small subunit ribosomal RNA", at positions 568 to 898 of the family's 1533-position model. Lineage: Bacteria; Pseudomonadati; Pseudomonadota; Alphaproteobacteria; Caulobacterales; Caulobacteraceae. The record is from RNAcentral.
AGCGUAGGCGGAUAGUUAAGUCAGAGGUGAAAGCCCAGGGCUCAACCUUGGAAUUGCCUUUGAUACUGGCUAUCUUGAGUAUGGGAGAGGUGUGUGGAACUCCGAGUGUAGAGGUGAAAUUCGUAGAUAUUCGGAAGAACACCAGUGGCGAAGGCGACACACUGGCCCAUUACUGACGCUGAGGCUCGAAAGCGUGGGGAGCAAACAGGAUUAGAUACCCUGGUAGUCCACGCCGUAAACGAUGAGAGCUAGUUGUCGGCAUGCAUGCAUGUCGGUGACGCAGCUAACGCAUUAAGCUCUCCGCCUGGGGAGUACGGUCGCAAGAUUAAA